UAAUACGAAGGGGGCUAGCGUUGUUCGGAAUUACUGGGCGUAAAGGGCGCGUAGGCGGCUCUGUAAGUCAGGAGUGAAAUCCCUAGGCUCAACCUAGGAAUUGCUUUUGAGACUAUGGAGCUUGAGUACAGGAGAGGUGAGUGGAAUUCCCGGUGUAGAGGUAAAAUUCGUAGAUAUCGGGAGGAACACCAGUGGCGAAGGCGGCUCACUGGCCUGUAACUGACGCUGAGGCGCGAAAGCGUGGGGAGCAAACAGGAUUAGAUACCCUGGUAGUCCACGCUGUAAACGAUGAAUGCUAGUUGUUGGAGGGUUUACCCUUCAGUGACGCCGCUAACGCAUUAAGCAUUCCGCCUGGGGAGUACGGCCGCAAGGUUG
This 375-nucleotide ribosomal RNA is filed under the name uncultured bacterium. RNAcentral describes it as "bacterial SSU rRNA". It matches the Rfam family "Bacterial small subunit ribosomal RNA", at positions 521 to 896 of the family's 1533-position model. The record is from RNAcentral.